CUGAUGUUCAGUGUCCCCACGCACUGCAUGGGGAUGCUGAAUUUUUCCCUCAUAGAGAUGCUACGGAUUUUUAUGUGGUUCCUGCGCUGUUUAUCCUCCAGGGCUGUGAUUUGGUGUGUCAGUGUGACUUGAGUGGUUUGCAAUUUUUGUACUGUCUCUUUAAGGGCCACGAUGUCAGUUCUGGAAGCUAGUAUGUCCUUUUCAGAGGUUUGUAC
Non-coding RNA from Pelobates cultripes (western spadefoot toad), 215 nucleotides. NCBI's taxonomy places the organism in Eukaryota, Metazoa, Chordata, Amphibia, Anura, Pelobatidae. The record is from the annotation of a GenBank genome assembly.